RNA transcript from Solanum stenotomum, 2178 nucleotides. It is a transcript of the gene named BRAP2 RING ZnF UBP domain-containing protein 2, with no coding region annotated. The record is from RefSeq and is a predicted model, not a curated record. NCBI's taxonomy places the organism in Eukaryota, Viridiplantae, Streptophyta, Magnoliopsida, Solanales, Solanaceae. The transcript is spliced from 11 exons.
UCCCAUCCCCAACCAAACGACCUAUUUAUAAUAUAUUGACACCUCAAAAUUGAUCGUCCGUCUCACAGAAAGGAGAAAUCGAGUGUCCGAAUCAAUUUCAACAAGUAACGUGACGAUAGGAGGAAAAUCGUGAUGGAUUCUGGCGAUUCUUCAACGUCCAUGUCUAAUUUGACUCAGGUGUUCCAUUUUUCUUCUGGAAACCCUCGCAUCGAAGAAACCAGAGGCGUCAUGCAUCUAUUCUCCAACGAUGUUGCUUCUUAUUCAUCAUCUCACUUACCUGUGGAAAGAAAGCCUCUCCUCUGUGUUCUAUGUGUUCCGAAUCACAUGACAUAUUCAGACUUUUGUCAGUUUUGUGGUUCAUUUGUUCAACAUAUGUUGGAAAUGCGAAUUGUCAGGAAUGAUGGUAUGGAAGAUUGUUACAGUAUAUUGAUCAGGUUUGAUGAGCAGAAAGCUGCAGAUACUUUUCACAAGCAUUUUAGUGGUAGAAGAUUUUCAUCUCUUGAGGAAGAGACGUGCAAUGUGUUAUUUGCUGCUGAUGUUCAUUACACCGGUUCAAUUGAGCACACACAGUCAUUACCUGCAAGCUCUACAGAGCAACCGUUCUGUCCUGUUUGUCUUGAGAGACUGGACCAGGAUACAAGUGGAAUUCUCACAACCAUUUGUAAUCAUUCCUUUCAUUGUUCAUGUAUUUCAAAAUGGACAGAUUCUUCAUGCCCCGUAUGCCGAUAUUGCCAGCAGCAGCCUGGAAACUCAACAUGUUCUAUCUGUCAAUCACCAGAAAAUCUAUGGAUGUGUGUUAUUUGUGGUUUUGUUGGGUGUGGAAGAUACAAAGAGGCUCAUGCUACAAGGCACUGGAAGGAGACACAACAUUGCUAUGCACUUGAAUUGGAAACACGGCGUGUCUGGGACUACGCAGGGGAUAACUAUGUUCACCGUUUGAUUCAGUCUAAAACUGAUGGGAAGCUGGUUGAGCUCAACCACCAUGGUCAUCAUGAUAGUGAUGGCUGCUGCAGCUGCGAGUGUGGUACAGAUCCUGGAUUCAGCGAGACUAUUUUAAACAGCAAAGUUGAAGCUAUUGUGAACGAGUACAAUGAUCUCCUGACUUCCCAGCUGGAGGAUCAAAAAAUGUACUUUGAGUCCUUAUUGCAAGAUGUUGAAGAAGAAAUUGAAAGGGAAACUAAGGAAGCUGUUGAGAAAGCUCUAUGCCAGAAUCCAAGGUUAAUGAAGUUAAAAGUUCGUUUGGACAAAUACGUUGAAGAGAAGAAAUUCCAUGAUGAUAUCAAUGACAAUCUUAUGAGAAACAAGGAGAUAUGGGAAGCCAAGAUAGUGGAAAUUGAAGAAAGGUAUUAUCUUUCCUUGUUGUCAUGUGUCCUCUUCUGAGGCAAUGGCAGUAAAUAUAUCUGUCAGAACUCUUUCACCCAUCAACCCGCUUUUCUUCAAAUGUUUGUUCUUUUAUUUUCUAUGCAACUGCUAGUAUUUUCACAAUUCCCACAUAGGUGGAUCACAAGAACUGCGAUUUUGUACCGAUUGACAUCAACUUUCUUUUUGCAUGUUGUGCUUCAUAAUGAUUGUUAAAAGGAUUCAUUCACUGUAACUUCUCUGACUAGCAUAUGAAGUAGCAACAUCACGUCAUACAUAUAGUAAGAAAUAAGCUCCAGGACACACUGGGAGUUUCUCUUUCUUAUCAGAUAAUCAUAUUCUCUCAUGGUUCCAAAUCCCACAUAGGUAUAUAUUGUUAUCUUUUAAAAAAAUUCACCUCUUGCCAUUAAACGAGGCUUCUAAUAAAUUUAGAAUUGCUUCUUUCAGAUACGUAUUGGUUUGGGAACUUGUUUUUGUUGCUUUGUGAUAACUGCUUCUCAAAGAUCUGGUUCUAAGAGGAAAGAAUAUGCCGCUAGUGCAAAAUUCCAGAUUGGUUUGGUUUUCUUGCAAAGUUGAUAUACUCUAUGCAUUGUAGUUUCUUAUGAGGAAAUGCUGGACUCAGCAUAAGGCAGGUUUUUUUUUCUCUUUUCUUGUGAGUUAGUGUUGUUCAUGUAAUGAAUGAUAAAGUACUUCAGACCAACUUCAUGUGCAUUCAUCCAGAACUGCUAAAUUACUUCCCAAUUUUGUCAUGUAAUUUCCUAUUUUAUCUUCUAACAUCUAACUUUCAGGGAGAAGAAGGCGCAGAAAAUGAAGGAUGAG